UUAAUUUAACAGAAAAAAAAUUUAACUUUUAAUAUUAAAAAAGUAAUUUUUAGUUUUAGUAUUAAGUCUUAAAUAAUAAUCAUUUAUAUAUUAUUUCUUUAAAGAUAUAAAUCUAAAUUAAAAAAGUUAAUUAUUUAUUGUACCUUUUGUAUCAGGGAAAAUUAAAUUAAAAAAACUAUUUUUAUUCUCGAAUAAAAUAGAAAUAAAUAAAAAUAAAUAAGUUUUUAUUUCAAAAAAAUUUUAAAUUUUUAUUUAGUGAUUAAAUGUUUUCAAUAUUUUUUUAUCUAGUUAAUUUAUAUAUUAAUUUAAUUAAUCUUAUAAUUUAAUUAAUUAUUCUAAAUUAUUAAAUAUAAGAAUACAUUUUUUUGGUUAAGCAAAAAAAUUUUUAUUAAUUUAAAAUAAUUUAUAUGAAAUAUUUAUAUUAAUAAAUUUUAAAAUAUUAUUUAAUUUUUAAGUUAUAAAUUAAUUUAAACAACUAAAACAAUAAAAAAAAAAUGAUUUUAUAAGUAAUUUAUUUAUUUUCUUUUUAAGAACUAGGCAAAAUUUUUAAUCAAAUGUUUAACAAAAACAUCUUUUAUUUUUAUUUAUAAUAAAUUUAGCCUGCCCGGUGAUAAAUACUAUUUAACGGUUAUAUAAUAAUACUAAGGUAGCGUAAUAAUUUGUCAUCUAAUUAAUGAAUAAAAUGAAGGUUUAAUGAAUUAAAAACUGUUUUUAAAAAAAAAAACUAAUUUAAUAAUUAAGUGAAAAAUCUUAAAUAUUUUUAAAAGACGAUAAGACCCUAUAGAACUUAUUUUUAUUUUAAAUUUACUGGGGAAGUAAAAAUAUAAAUAAAACUAUUUUAAAAUAAAAAUCCAAGAAGAUUAACCAAAAUUUUUGAUUAAAAAGUUACCUUAGGGAUAACAGCAUUAAUUAUAUAAAAAGUUCUUAUUUUAAUAUUUAUUAAUGACCUCGAUGUUGAAUUAAAAUAAACUAAUAAAGCAAAAAUUUUAUUAUGUUUGGUCUGUUCGACCUUUAAUAUUUUACAUGAUUUGAGUUCAAACCGACGUGAGUUAGGUUGGUUUCUAUCUUUAAUUUAUAAAAUUUUAUUAGUACGAAAGGACCAUAAAGUAAAUUUAAAUAUUUUAAACCUAUUUAAUAUUAAAUUAAUGAAUUUAAAGUUCA
This 1161-nucleotide ribosomal RNA is filed under the name Gynaikothrips uzeli. RNAcentral describes it as "large subunit ribosomal RNA". The record is from RNAcentral. Lineage: Eukaryota; Metazoa; Arthropoda; Insecta; Thysanoptera; Phlaeothripidae.